UCCCUAACAACACACAACAUUCCAGGAAUGUACUACCAAAGUUCUAUCAAUAUUUGAAUGUCCUGGACAUUUAGGGAACAUUCGGUGAACAUCUGUUUAAAUUAUUCCUGGAAUGUUACCAUAAGACAUUCUGUGAACAUACUACCAAUGUUCCUAUAUUUUAAGUUGCGAAAUAAUACAUACGUGUAAGAGAUACAACAUUACUUAUAACAUACCAGACAAACUAAGUGACAUUUUAGGCCUACAGUGCAAUAAUAUGUCAAAUUUAAAGAGUUUCCCAAGAUUAUAAACAUACAAAUGUAAUAAAAAUUAUUGUUCGCGAAUAUUCAAUUUGGAAUGCGAUUUUGUUAAUAAAAAAAUACUUAUAACUUAUGCAAAACCCAAGAGAGGCAUUUAUAUUUAUUUCUUUUGCGUUCAUUUUCAAAUUCGCCGUGCAUAUAUUUUUGUGCAUGGCGCUUGAGAGGGCAUCACGUGACUAAAAACGACCAACCAACGACCUCGCUUCGGCCAUCUUGGCAUCUUCAUCUUGGCGACCUUGCCUUGCCGUGGAUUGUUUUUAGUUGUUUGUAUUAUUUGUGCUUUUUAAGAAUAUUUUUUUAAUUCGGAUACUUUUAUAAUAGCUUUAAUAGUAUUAUUAACAUAGUGCAUAAAAUGGUGUCCUAUUUUUAACGCAGUUGGAGUAGCAGAAACAAAUGUAGAUAAAAAAAUCUGCAGGAAUAACGUUUCAAUUAUGACAGAAGCUCAAAACAAAUGACUGUGAAUGAAAAGCCCUAUUAAAAGCUUUCCAGAAGAUCCUGCGAAGAAGACAUGAAGUAUAGAUCAGAUUUGUUAAUAGAGGAGUAUGUUCAAAACACUUUUUAGAAAAAGAUAUUGACAGAACUUCACUUUCAUCUGUUCGUUUGAGAGACUGUGCUGUUCCAAUAGCUUAUGUCACACAGAAUCAGCUGAGAGAAGUGGUCUACAAAAAACCAGAAAGGAAACGGAAUAUGUGGCUACGAAAAGCAAAAGAAAGGUUUACAAAGCAAAUGUGACACAUUUUUUAUAAUAUUUAGGAAUGUCAGCAAAUUACAUUAAAAAAUGUAUGUAAAGAUUUUUUGCAAUAAAAAUGUUUAUAUUUA
RNAcentral lists this long non-coding RNA (1118 nucleotides) under Diabrotica virgifera virgifera (western corn rootworm). RNAcentral describes it as "uncharacterized LOC114328856". Lineage: Eukaryota; Metazoa; Arthropoda; Insecta; Coleoptera; Chrysomelidae. The record is from RNAcentral.